AUACGGAGGGUGCAAGCGUUAAUCGGAAUUACUGGGCGUAAAGCGUACGUAGGCGGUUUGUUAAGUCAGAUGUGAAAGCCCCGGGCUCAACCUGGGAACUGCAUUUGAAACUGGCAGGCUAGAGUAUGGUAGAGGGGGGUAGAAUUUCUGGUGUAGCGGUGAAAUGCGUAGAUAUCAGAAGGAAUACCGAUGGCGAAGGCAGCCCCCUGGACCAAUACUGACGCUGAGGUACGAAAGCGUGGGGAGCAAACAGGAUUAGAAACCCCGGUAGUCC
Molecule: ribosomal RNA, 274 nt
Filed under: uncultured bacterium
Lineage: Bacteria
Description: partial 16S ribosomal RNA
Rfam family: Bacterial small subunit ribosomal RNA
Source: RNAcentral